CGUAGGUGGCAAGCGUUGUCCGGAUUUACUGGGCGUAAAGCGCGCGCAGGCGGACUGGUUAGUCCGGGGUGAAAGCUCAUGGCUCAACUGUGAGUGGUCCCCGGAUACUGCCCGUCUUGAGGUGUCUAGAGGAGAGCGGAAUUCCCGGUGUAGUGGUGGAAUGCGUAGAUAUCGGGAAGAACACCAGUGGCGAAAGCGGCUCUCUGGGGACCACCUGACGCUGAGGCGCGAAAGCGUGGGGAGCGAACCGGAUUAGAUACCCGGGUAGUCCACGCCGUAAACGAUGAGCACUAGCUGUCGGGGGUAUCGACCCCUCCGGUAGCGCAGCUAACGCAAUAAGUGCUCCGCCUGGGGACUACGGCCGCAAGGCUA
RNAcentral lists this ribosomal RNA (372 nucleotides) under uncultured organism. RNAcentral's name for it is "bacterial SSU rRNA". It matches the Rfam family "Bacterial small subunit ribosomal RNA", at positions 526 to 896 of the family's 1533-position model. The record is from RNAcentral.